Non-coding RNA from Paramuricea clavata, 224 nucleotides. Lineage: Eukaryota; Metazoa; Cnidaria; Anthozoa; Malacalcyonacea; Plexauridae. The record is from the annotation of a GenBank genome assembly.
CGAAUAUUGAAAUGUUUUCAUUUUUUUAUCAAUGAACAUAUUAAUACGUUAAUCGUUGCAUUUUUUCGCACCAAAAUAUUUAACCGUUCGCCUUCUAGAGUUACCUAAGGUGGCGACACCAAUAUUGCCACUUGUCCAAAUUGUGCCGGGAUAUUAGGUUUAAACAUAUUACGGAACGUAAUAAAAUAUUUUAAUGGUAAAUGGCUACAUAUCUUUUCUAAAAC